RNAcentral lists this ribosomal RNA (253 nucleotides) under uncultured bacterium. Its description in RNAcentral is "partial 16S ribosomal RNA". It matches the Rfam family "Bacterial small subunit ribosomal RNA", at positions 524 to 776 of the family's 1533-position model. The record is from RNAcentral.
UACGGAGGGGGCUAGCGUUAUUCGGGAUUAUUGGGCGGAAAGGGCGCGUUGGCGGCCCGGUAAGUCAAAGGUGAAAUCCCUCGGCUCAACUGAGGAACUGCCUUUGAAACUGUCGGGCUUGAGGCCGGGAGGGGGUAGCGGAAUUCCCAGUGUAGCGGUGAAAUGCGUAGAUAUUGGGAGGAACACCGGUGGCGAAGGCGGCUACCUGGACCGGUUCUGACGCUGAUGCGCGAAAGCGUGGGUAGCAAACAGG